GAUUUGCCGGAUUUGGACUCUUUGGUGAUUUAUCGGUCACGCAUUGCACUUUGCAGGAUUAGAUUCAGAAUCGUGACAUUUGAGUCUGAACUGUAGUAGCAAAGCCCCCCGAGGGUGCGUCUACAAUCCCCUACUCAUGCAGAUUUGAGGGUCGGUGCCGACCAGGGCCCCGGCAGACUUUGCCCUUCCUCCGGCAGUUCUUCGAUACUGUACGGACGACAAAGGUAAUCCAGAACUCUCAGUUCUUCAUCUUUUCAAUUUUGCUUCAUCUUGCACAUUCAUGACUUCUAAUUAAUUCAUGCACUUAUUACCCGCAGGUUAACUGGCAGCCUUAGAUAGCCAUGCCAGGGAAUCCUCGGUUUUUGUUCGUUGGGGCAUGGGGCACUUCGCGGUACAGGGUUCUUCUUGAGGGACCGGUUGGCAGAGGAUGAUUUCUUGGAGAGCGCUUCAUGCGCCAGACGAUGGGAAACUUUGAUCAGGACGUCCCCUCAUCGCCUCCACUAGAGAUGCGGUCUGCAGGGGAUCUCGCACCCCGGAAGACGGAGGACCUCAUGUUGGGUAUUAACGUGGUGCUUUUCUUGAAGGAGGGGGAUUAUGCGAAAUAUCGCCAUACGUACUUGAUGCCUUCACUGUUAGAUGUCCGUGCCUCCAGGAGGAGGGCUGCUGACGUGCCUUCCUCGAGUCACGCCUAAGCUAGAGACAUUCCUUCAACCAGCGGAGCUGGCACAUCGAGGGGUGGGGCUGGAUGGAUACCCUCUACUUGCCAACAUGCUGGAUGGCCAGAUCUUCCGACCGGGCUGAUAGGUUGGGAGUAUGGGACACCAUACUAGAUCUCGCUAGAGCCUCCGCGACCGGAUCACCGAUACGUCAGUGACCCUGACUCACCACCGCCUCCCAGAGAGUACACUGAUGGGUUGCUCGAAGUGGUGGCCUCGCUCGAGAGCAUGGUCUUACGAAGAGAGACACUGCUGCACUCCUCCAGUAUCCCAGUCGCACCUGUACCGCCCGGGCCAUCCCGGCCUUCUUGAGUAGCUAGGAGAGGAGCAUCGACUUGCGGUCGAGGUGGGUACAGAGCACCCGCCAGAUAUGAGGAGGAGUCUAGCGAGGAGGAGCUAGCACAUCCGCAGUCAGAAACGUCUGCAAGUAGGGAUGAUGACUCCGGUUCGGGUUCUGAGGAUGGAGGUGACACCGAGGAGGUUUUCGAGGGUGGUGACUCCGAUUCAGACGGGGGCGGUGGCGGUGGCGUGAAGGCUGCUCAGCCGAAGAGGAGGAAGAGGGCCUCUCGGUCUUGAGCUUGUUAGCACUGAUGCAGAUGAUCCUGCUUUAUGUUUCUUUUUACAUGUAGUUGUAGCACAUUGUACAGCUUAGGCAGCUUUAUUUUCUUCAAAACUUGUACCUUUUUGUAAAAUGUUGUAAAAAGAAGCCAUGAUGAAAUG
Molecule: non-coding RNA, 1436 nt
Organism: Camellia sinensis
Lineage: Eukaryota; Viridiplantae; Streptophyta; Magnoliopsida; Ericales; Theaceae
Source: RefSeq, a predicted model, not a curated record